AAAAAAAAAAAAAAAUUAAAACUUCAAUGAUAUAUACCUUAGUUGCAACUUACCAUCAGUGAUGUGCUCCUCACCUAACAUUGAAGCUUAUCCUUUCUGUGAUUCCCCCUUUGACAAAAAUAGAUAGAAGUCUUUACAAAUAAAAGUUACUAUUAUUUUAGAUAAGACAUUCAUUGACAAUCCAAAAUUAACAUAUUAUUUGGGAUUAUAUACUGCUGUGAUUAAAGGCCUCUUUUAGUUUUGGUAUAUACAACAACCACCAAGCCUUAUCUCACUAAGUGGGGUCGGCUAUAUGAAUCUUAGAACGCUAUUGCGCCAAGUCUUCCGUUGGCUCCAAAUACUCCAUAUAUUUUCUUAUACUCUCUAUAAGAGUCUUUCUGAGCCUUCCUCGAUUCUUUUUGUUCUGAGCCUGCAUCUCAUAGUCGAGUUUUGGUAUAUCAUUCCAAAAUCACCAUAAUAAUUUUUACCUCUGUGGUAAAUUUCAGGUGGAGUGACUUCCAUGGAUGAUUUCUUAAAGGAAUUCUUCCCAAAAAUUUACAG
This 540-nucleotide long non-coding RNA is filed under the name Malus domestica (apple). RNAcentral's name for it is "long non-coding RNA (MDOM_LNC014711)". The record is from RNAcentral. Lineage: Eukaryota; Viridiplantae; Streptophyta; Magnoliopsida; Rosales; Rosaceae.